This 158-nucleotide non-coding RNA is filed under the name Candidatus Gottesmaniibacteriota. RNAcentral's name for it is "Candidatus Gottesmanbacteria GlcN6P sequence". It matches the Rfam family "glmS glucosamine-6-phosphate activated ribozyme aptamer". From Rfam's summary of the family: This entry contains a glucosamine-6-phosphate activated ribozyme that is found in the mRNA for GlmS. GlmS is an enzyme that uses fructose-6-phosphate and glutamine to generate glucosamine-6-phosphate. The ribozyme catalyses self cleavage of the glmS mRNA that is thought to regulate GlmS activity. The record is from RNAcentral.
GGAAAAUUUAAAGCGUGUGGACCAGCCCCUCGCGAGGAGCUGGUAUACGAGGAAGGGGAAAAUCGAAUAGCCCGCCAGUCGGCGGAUAAAUCUGCGGAUACCCCUUGGUAGCGCUCUCUACCACAACAAUAGACAGAAAUGACUAUUGAGGAGCCCGU